This 31-nucleotide non-coding RNA is filed under the name Rattus norvegicus (Norway rat). The record is from RNAcentral. Lineage: Eukaryota; Metazoa; Chordata; Mammalia; Rodentia; Muridae.
UCCAAAUUUAUAUACAUUUGUGGUAGGUAAC